Long non-coding RNA from Ooceraea biroi (clonal raider ant), 7592 nucleotides. RefSeq lists it as uncharacterized. NCBI's taxonomy places the organism in Eukaryota, Metazoa, Arthropoda, Insecta, Hymenoptera, Formicidae. The record is from RefSeq and is a predicted model, not a curated record.
UAAUGAUUAUAACGCAUUAUAAAAAUAUUUAUAAAAAUGUUCAUUUUAUAUUUCUAAUUUAAUUAUUGUCUCAUCUAUAAUCCACAUUACUUCGUAUUUACAUCAGAACAAGUUCAAGGCAAAAGUCACAGAAGCGUCACAGAGAGAGAUUUGCAUAGAAAAAUCAAUGUAUGUAUUCCGUUUUUCCAAGUUACAUCGUGAAAAAGUGAUGUAAGCGCAUUAAGAACACAAAGAAGCCAAGUGCUCGUUUGAAUUGAAGAGUUGCCAUGCGUUUUUGCUAUCUGCCUUAGCGACAUUGACUUUUCGCGUGUAUAAUGACACGUUCACACGUUCACGGUCGCAAGAAUUAGGUCAGAGGCCUGCUGUCGUCAAUGAACCGUAAGCGAGAUUGAACAAAUUGCUCAGUUAUAUGUGUGCGCAAUGUGUUAGCGGAGAGUCGUUUUACUUACUGACUGUGAUCGCGUGUGUAAUCUUGCCAGAUGCUUCAUAGCUGAACGACUUAAUAUCGAAACGUCUUAGCUAUCCAAAUACAUGGCAGAAUUAAGCAAAUAAAAAUUGAAUAAUAAGAAAAUGUAUGUACAUGAGACUUAUUUACACAAAAUUACAUUAAUUGAAGCUAUACAUGUAUCGAGAUAAUGAUGAUAGCCAAGGAUGCUUACAAGCGCGUCGUCGCGACUUAAUUUUUAAGCAACAAGUAAGGGAUUGACUUUUACGCUUCGAUUCUUCAAGGAUACCGAUAAUUGCAACAAGACCUGCAAAUCUGACUAAUCUCCGUGUUAAUAUGGCAUGCUCCAACCGAGCCUAGGCAAAGAUCUUCUCCCUAAAGGAAGUUCCUAUACGUGCUUGACGCAAUUGUCCUUAAAAGGUACACGCUCGUUACGAGCGAUCGAACUUAUUGCGAAUCGAUGCGACGCAUGUACACAUCAUCGGCAAAAUCGUUGACCCACUUUGUGAGGCUGAUCAGUUGCAUAAUCCUUGCGCGUUUUAUCUGCACAUACGCGUUUCAUAAGGUGCUCUUAAAUGCGCGUUUGCCAGCGAAGGUUGCCCGGUUACUCUUGGCCGUAUAAGGACCUCUAAGCGAGAGGAGAGCGGUCAGCUCGAGAGAGCAUCGCAGCUUCGCGAGCGUUGGAACACGAACUCAAAAAGAACUCAAGUAUUUAUUAAUAAAAGACGCCGAAUUAUUUCCGUUUCCUUAAGAUUGACAUUUGACAAUUUUAAUCUGUUUCUGACAUCCUUUUAAUUAUUUUCGUUCAUUAUUUUAUUGCUUUUAUCAUCAGUUCACGUGGAUGUGUUUCCGAUCCACGCAGCCAGCUAAUUAAAAUUCAUCAUUAAAUCGGAACCGUUAAAAUCCUGAUUUAACUCCGUGUCACGUAACAUGUUGAAGCAUCCUUGGCUUAUACAUCUCACGUCACAGUAUAAUAAAAAACGACUUGUACCCCCCCGGAAGAGUAAGCGAGAUCUCAUUGAGCAGCAGUUGCGGGUAAUCAUCAUUAGCUAACUAUCCCGUUAAUCCUGUGAACGGCGUUAGUUUCUGUAAGUUUAAGCGUCUCAUACGGGCCGAUGCAUAUCCUGGAUCCGCCGAUCGCGAACUCUCCCACGAACUUUCAGACCUGGCGUAUUCCACGAUCCGUAUGCUGCUAAGUGUGACGCUCAGCUACGUAAGCCGAAUCGCUUUCUGCCCGUAUAAAAACCUGCGUACUAAGUGCAGCCCGCAUUGUUAAAUCAUCUCGGAUCUGCCAGUCGACGCUACAGACAGAUGUUCAUCGCGAAUCGGAUGCGUUUCAUUCCGAGCGGACAUCCGUGGUGUUACAAGAUGCAAUCCUGACUCAUUUGUGUGGAAUUGCGUAAUCGAAGCGGUAUUACAAUUCGGAGUCACGCGACUGGCUCGAUUACUUAACGGUCAGCGCGUUAUUGGCUUUCGCGUGUAUGUGUGCGUACGUGGGUACGCAGGUUUCCAUAUAGUUCGGCCAUUUAAGAGCUUGAAUACAUAUUGGGAUAUUCAUCACCGCGGGACACGAAAUAACGUCAUCUUUAAAUUCGCGCGGCCGCGAACGCAGCCCGAGAGUUUUGCACGUUACAAGAAACUGCAUUCGCCUCGCGUAUGAAUGAGUAAUGACCAGACGAGGGAAAGUCCUGCACGAAACUCGAGGUGCAGUGACUGCAUCUGCGUAAGUAUUUUUUUUAGUUUAACAUUUUUACAAUUUUUUAAUGUAACAUCACUUUUGUCAUUUUAAUUUCAUAUAUUUUGUACCAAUAUAUUUCCUUAUUUCGAAUAUGGUGUCCUUGCAUGAAGAAAUAUAUGCACAUUAUAUUGUUAAUAAACAUGUCAAUGUUUAUCGAUAUAAAAUGCGAAUAAUAUUUUUACACUGUUUUCACAACUGGCUCUUGCGCGUGAAAGACUGCCUCGGCGGUACAAUUCCUUGUGGGAAUUAUGGGGUCCCAUAGUCGCUAAUUGGAAAGAAUGCAAGGGCAGACAUGGGGUUUCUAUCGAGGUCACGGUGAGAUCCUCAUAAGUCGAAAAGUUUCGUUUAGUCUUUCUCUUAAGAAUGUAUUUAUAGCUUCGAUAUUACGUUAUUAAAUUAUUCGUAUAAUUGUGAGUUUUUUUUUCAAAGAAAAGUAAAUCUUUGAACAGUGCUUCAAGGAUAACUCGUGCUGUCUGUAUUCAAAGUCAGCGUAACGAGCUAUCUGAAGAACUGUCGUAAUAUCGAUUACGUGGCGCAGAAUUAGUUUUCCUAGUUUCAUUUGUGCAAUCCAUUUCCAUUCUAAAAUGUAAAAUGUACGACUGUCCGCGAUACGAUAUCUGUUUUACUUACUUUGCCUGUAUUUUUAAAUAAUCGAUUCCAAGACUGCAUUUACAUAAUAAAUAAUAUCGGUUGAAUUUCUGUAGAGAAAAAAGCGUGUUAUUAAUACCUAUCUGAUUUCUAUUAUUCUUCUCAUUUUUCAUUACGUCGUUUUCAAUUUUCGUUCCGUCAGUCCUGUCAAGUUUGAGAUCGACUGCUUUUUUUCUGGGAGUUCGUGUUUUACGAUCAAAUAAAGUCGCUUAUGUACUUAUAGGAGUGGCCGAGUAAUUUGCUCGCGAAAGAAGAAUGUUUACUUGUGCAAUAAAGUAUACACGUACGAAAUAUCGAUACUUCGAAAAUUGUCUGUAGGCUUUAUAUCAUCUAUUGGACGCAUGACGUAAGAAAGAUGCUAUGCUGGAAUAAUUUACAAUGUAGAGAAAGUUUUCCGAUAGGAUGAACUCUCUAUGUGAUCCGCGUUACGUUUUCGUAACGUUCUGAUCCGACGAGUCGAGUGUGCAAUUAAGUGCUUCCUGCAUUAUGUCGUAAGGCGAAGAUUGGCACGGGGUAAGCAAGUACUCGAGUAUUCUCUUAAUUAAGCUCAGCAGGAUACGCUGGAGCUCGAGCCAGAUCGUGGAGUGUUUGUGCAUAAAUGAUCAAUAAUAGUGAUGAUAAUCAAUAAUAUUUAAGAUAUCAAAAGUUUUAUGUUACUCUCGCAAUGAUAACGAGAAGCAAUUUGCACUAUAAUUUGCAUUAAAAGUCGAUAGUGUAUUAGAAUUUUAUAAUGUUGAUAAAUCUAAAUUUAUGAUCUGCUUGAGAUUUUGAUUAUAAUGUCUGAUAUUGAAGCAGAAUAAAAAAAUAAGUAAAAUGAAGAAAUAAAUACGGCUUUGUUCUUUAAUUCUGACACACGAAAUAACGUUUUCGAAGCCACAUGUGAUAAUACUUUUAUCAGUUGUAAUAUAUCACGAUUAGUAAUACAUAAACGAUACUCUGUGCGUGUUUAUGGCGUUCCGCGAAUUUAUAUCGCAAUAUGUUUAACGAGAUUAAAUGAUGUUAUGUAACUUUUCGUGCAGCUUAAUCGAUUUUGCAUUCACAUUUCAAAGAUGAAUUAUCCGUUUUUGAAAUUGAAAUUAAUUAAUUAGUAGUUUGAAAUUUUGCUACAGCAUUGUUCAUGUAUAUUAUGGUUCCAAAGAAAUAAAACGAUCUCUCGAAUUUCAAGCUAAUUAAAAUUUUAACGUAAUUAAUAAGCUUUAUGUAGAAAGAUCGUCAGCAGAUUAUAGAUCAGACGAUUUAUUUACUGUCCGCACAGAGAUGCAUAAGAUUAUUCUUAUUAUUAAGAGGCGCGCAAAAAUCCUUAUUCUCCGUUAUUCGCACCUAGAACGGAAACCACUUUAUUCUACUUCCGGCCGUUAAUACAGAUAUCCUCUUCGGGGAUGAAGCACCUCUAUUUUUAGAGUAUGGAUAUAAUACUACACAUUCAUCGUAUAGCAUGGUGUUCGUAGAAGAUCGUCGAAGAGGGAACUUAUAAUCGGUAAGUUACUGCGAAAUCACAUUUCGAAGAAAAUUAUUGUAAGUAAUAACGCCAAAGUACAUGUACAGAAUAGCCAGAUCGUUAAAAUGUACAUGUGAAAAAAAACAUUUUUUGCCCAGAUGGUGUAUCCUUAGAAAAUAUUUUUCAUUUGUUAUUAUGAAUAAGAAGAAAAUAAAAGAGAAAAGUUGAUAAACUAACACAUCGGGAUAGAUAAAAUAUUAAGAUAGACCAAUUUCCUAUUCUAUCUACAAAUAACUUGUCAACAUUUAUUUCAACGCUCUUGUGACAGUAUCUACCGUGCAAUAUAACGCUAUUCGAUAGUAAUGCGAACGUAUUUUGCAUAUUGUGCUUCCGAUGUGUACAUUGUGUAUGCACUUUUUGCUUCUGAUGCAAAUUGCGGCUUAUAUAAAAGAGCGUUGUCAGCAUUGAGAUGUUCACUUGAUCAUGAUCGUAAUACUAGUCAUGGUAUCUAGAGAGUGCUGACAGCGAUUGUCAGGCCUGAGAUAAUAUCCGCCUUUACGUCGAUAAAUGGAAACUAAUUAACUUUUUUCUCCUAGAAAAAUAGAGGCUUGUGCUCAGGCUCGUAAUGUCUAUGAUAUUAUCGCCUGACGUUGAUCAUUGAUUAUCAUUUAUUCAUUCUUCCGUUGGCUUGUGCAAAUAGACAGGCACGUUGAACUCUGGCAAUUAUGGGAGGUGGUCAUGGCAUACGGAGCUUUUAAUUUAUAGCGGUAAUUAUGUGUUCAACGCUACCUUGGAAUCACGGCGUAUAGUUGUUAUCUUGGAUUAGCGUUGUACGUUUACGAACGAUCGAGACAAGAAAUUAGAUCAAACAAGAUCGCGUCCAUCCGAUAAUUGAUAAUGCUUUUUCUUUUUUGAUAUGAUAAUAAAUAAGAAAAUUAUUAGGAUUAAUAACACUAACAAUAAUAGUAAUAAUAUACUAGUAAUAAUAUACUAGUAAUAAUAUAUUCUGAUUUAAAUGAUCUUUGCUUCUAUUAUACAUGGAAAAAUAAUUACUUUUGUUACAUGUACAUGAUAUUGUUUCAUAAGUAGAAUUUUUUAUGGAAUAUAUUAUAUUACUACAUGACUUUGCAGUUUUAAUAACAUUUUUAUAAGAGAAUUAUGAUCUGCAUUUUUCUUUCUAAAUGUUAAACGUUUUUGAAUUGAAAUUUUGAAGCAUCUUUAAUCACAGGAAUGGUUCGUAUUUGAGAUUACAUUUUUUUUUUCGUUACGGGGCUUUUGCACCGGCGAUUUGCAACGUGCAACGUCACAGUUAAUCUUAAUGCAUGCGACGCGUCGUUCUCAGACGAUUUUGUACCAGCGAAGUACAUAUAACGAGCCGGCUCAAACUGCAUUCCGUAGACGAUAAGCAUAUCUUGCUUUGUAAUGAGUGUGGACUUCCCCACAAACCUUGCGACGAAUGUUUGUCAGUAUAAAAUGCAAGCCAAUUCUUUUAUGAUUCUAAUUUGUAAUUGUCAUUUGCUGUUUUAUAAGGUGUUAAAGAAUUAUAAAUUUUUCUGUUACAAAAGAUAAGCAAUAGAAAAGCACGUAAAAGUAUGUGAUGAAAUUAAAUUUCACAAUUGUGUUAUCGAACAAUUCGGAAAAAAUGCAAUUUAUAGAUGAUAUUAUUUAUGAUGAUAUUGCAAUAUUUAUAUAAUGUAAUAUUAUUCAUAAUUUUAUUGCUCAAUAUAUUUCUUAUGAACAAGAUGAUACAAUAACAAAGUAAGGGUUAUAUAAUGAAUUACGAAAAAUUUUAAGUCUCACGAUUAAGAUUCAGGAAAUUAUAAUAUAUGUGCACAGGAAGGAACACGACUGAUAAAAAUGAUUCAUGACCAACAUAUGCGGUAACGUACGGUAUAUUUCCAUUCGUGGCGAGCAUUGAUUAUUAAGUGGCAGCAAAGUUCUCGCGCCUCUCGAGAAAGAUGAUGCUUACGUACUCCUAAGCACAGCACUUCAAGUACUCCAAGCAGGAAUGUCUAAGAAUGAACAGUCGGUCACGUUGGUAUGCAGGCGAAAGGAGGGCCUAUCGCUGCAGGAUAAUGCAAUUUCGGAUACGGUACCGUGCCGGAGAAAUAUUUGAGAAGGUGCCGGAAGGAGGUGAGGCGAGAGAGGGGUGCACAGCACGAAGCCGGCCGAAGAAGUGUACCAUGGCCAGCGGGUUUCGCGAGGGACGCUCCCUUCUUCGGCAACUGGAUCUCAUUUUAAUUCCCCUCGAAAGGAACGAACUGCCUGGCAGCUGUCGCCGCUUACGGAACGAAACGCGCGUGCAUCGUCGACCUGCACGGGAUACCUGAGGUGAGGAAAAGGAACCAUUGUCAUGGCUCGAAGUAACGAAUACAUCUUUUAAAGGCGCACGGCUAACGCAUGCGCAAAUCUGUUUUUCUUUAAAGAUAACACGUUUGCAUUCUGAUAACGUCGAAGUCUCUGAAGUCGAUAUCUUUUGUCGUCAUCGAUAUAUUUUAUCAUUACGUAACAAUCAAAUUUUUUGAUGGAAAUUUGAUGGAAAAUUGAAUGGAAAAUAAAUUUUUGAAAUUGCAUUGUGAUACAUGUACAUAACGUUCUUUUAGUUGGGAGCGCUACUGAUUAUUUUUGCAAAAGAGACCAAAAUGGAAAUGUUACUGGUUUGAAUUUGCUGGAUGAAAUCAAAAGCACAAUGGUUCCGUUUAUUUGACAGCAAAUUGAGAAAAUAACUGCUCCAUUUUUCACUCGAAAUGAAACUACAAAUGCAACUGGUCGCAUGUAACCAGAUGGCACCAAUAACACAUAUAUCGCUGAAUUACUUAAUUCUUGAAAAUUUCGCUUAGAAAGGGCUUUAUCACCGAUCACAUUUUCAGAAAUUUUACUUUGUGUUAUAUCCGGAUGGAUAUCAUCGUUCUGUGUAUUUACAUGGAUAUAUAUUCUGAAGUGAUUUAUGAUGAGUGUGAAUCGUUUCGUUUUCGACUUACGAAACCGGGCGAAUCUGAAGCACAAAUAUUUAAACACAGCUGCGAGAUAAACGUUAUGAUUGCGUAGCAGUUGCAAGAGAAUUCACACAACGGUACCUCUUGUCUGUACAAUGAUAUCCCAUACAAAACAGAUUGCAGUGCGAAAUUGCUAUAUCAUUGAAAAGAAAGAAUUCUGCUUACUAUAUAGUUGCUCAAGUAAAGAAUUUUAAAAUCAUCGAAAGGUCAAUCUACAAAAUACAAUUAUCUAAAAUCUUAAUUAAUUAAUGUCUGUAUUAUUUUUAUUUUAGGUUUUCUGGAAUUAUGUAUUCAAUUAAUUUACGAUUAAAUAUACAUCAAACACGA